RNAcentral lists this ribosomal RNA (490 nucleotides) under uncultured bacterium. Its description in RNAcentral is "bacterial SSU rRNA". It matches the Rfam family "Bacterial small subunit ribosomal RNA", at positions 21 to 507 of the family's 1533-position model. The record is from RNAcentral.
GGCUCAGAUUGAACGCUGGCGGCAUGCCUUACACAUGCAAGUCGAACGGCAGCACGGGGCAACCUGGUGGCGAGUGGCGAACGGGUGAGUAAUGCAUCGGAACGUGCCAUUGAGUGGGGAUAACGUAGCGAAAGUUGCGCUAAUACCGCAUAUUCUGUGAGCAGGAAAGCAGGGGGACCGCAAGGCCUUGCGCUCUUUGAGCGGCCGAUGUCAGAUUAGCUAGUUGGUGAGGUAACGGCUUACCAAGGCGACGAUCUGUAGCGGGGUCUGAGAGGAUGAUCCGCCACACUGGAACUGAGACACGGUCCAGACUCCUACGGGAGGCAGCAGUGGGGAAUUUUGGACAAUGGGCGCAAGCCUGAUCCAGCCAUGCCGCGUGAGUGAAGAAGGCCUUCGGGUUGUAAAGCUCUUUCGGCCGGGAAGAAAUCGCAUGGGUUAAUACCCUGUGUGGAUGACGGUACCGGAAUAAGAAGCACCGGCUAACUACGUG